Molecule: long non-coding RNA, 459 nt
Organism: Empidonax traillii (willow flycatcher)
Lineage: Eukaryota; Metazoa; Chordata; Aves; Passeriformes; Tyrannidae
Exons: 3
Source: RefSeq, a predicted model, not a curated record
GCGGGCAGCGGCCGCACCCCGCGCGUUAGGGGGGCCCGGGGAACGGCGGCUGUCGCUGCUCGGGCGGUCUCGCCGGUCCCUCUGUGUGUGCACGAGGAGAUGGACAGGAGUGCCGCGCCCGGCAGACUCCAGGGAGAUGCCAAGAGACGGGAGCAACUCCCAUUUCCGCGUCGGGGAAACCUUUGUUGGUCGUUCCCGUCUCGCAGAGGCUGCAAAGGGCGCAGAGUCACAGCCGGCGCUGUGCCCGUCUGGAUGCUCCGAUGUAUGCAUUGCAGAUCUGAAUUUUCAGAGCAGUCCUGUGAAAAAGCAAGUUCCUAGACUUUGAGGAGUCUCUUGAUUGCCUAAAAGAACAAGAAGUGAACAUUAUUAAUAAAUCAGCCACAACACAUCUUUGGCAGUACAGCCGUCAUUUGCUUCUCACAGCUUGUUCAAUAGUAUUCUGUUCAGUCAAAUUUCAAC